RNAcentral lists this long non-coding RNA (381 nucleotides) under Ananas comosus (pineapple). RNAcentral describes it as "long non-coding RNA (ACOM_LNC023064)". The record is from RNAcentral. Lineage: Eukaryota; Viridiplantae; Streptophyta; Magnoliopsida; Poales; Bromeliaceae.
GAAAUUUAAAAUUUAAAAUUUAAAAUUUAAAAUUUUAGAUUUUAAAAUUUAAAUUUUAAUUUCAAAUUUUGAAAUUUAAAAUUUAAAUUUUAAAUUUAAAAAUAUAAAUUUUAAAAUUUUAAAAUUUAAAUUCAAAUAUAACAAGAAGGUAAUAUCAUUAUUUUUACUUAUAAAAUCCUCCAUCCUUCUUAUUCUAUCUUACCUAACCAAACGCUAUUUUUUUUAUUCUCAAGAAUAACCCAAUUUUUAUCCAAAAGUAAAAUUAAACUAAUUUUCGUUUAUAUCUUAAUUUAUGUCUAUUCCUGAAAUAGCCAUCUUUUAUUUAUUUUCGAACCAAACGAUACCAUAGUGGAUAAAAAUUAUUGCCUACCUCUAAUGUAC